CCUACGGGCGGCAGCAGUGAGGAAUAUUGGUCAAUGGACGAGAGUCUGAACCAGCGAAGUCGCGUGAGGGAUGACUGCCCUAUGGGUUGUAAACUUCUUUUAUAUGGGAAUAAAACAGGGUAUGCAUACCCUCUUGUAUGUACCAUAUGAAUAAGGAUCGGCUAACUCCGUGCCAGCAGCCGCGGUAAUACGGAGGAUCCGAGCGUUAUCCGGAUUUAUUGGGGUUAAAGGGAGCGUAGGUGGAUUGUUAAGUCAGUUGUGAAAGUUUGCGGCUCAACCGUAAAAUUGCAGUUGAAACUGGCAGUCUUGAGUACAGUAGAGGUGGGCGGAAUUCGUGGUGUAGCGGUGAAAUGCUUAGAUAUCACGAAGAACUCCGAUUGCGAAGGCAGCUCACUGGACUGCAACUGACACUGAUGCUCGAAAGUGUGGGUAGCAAACAGGAUUAGAUACCCUGGUAGUC
This 460-nucleotide ribosomal RNA is filed under the name uncultured bacterium. RNAcentral describes it as "partial 16S ribosomal RNA". It matches the Rfam family "Bacterial small subunit ribosomal RNA", at positions 338 to 795 of the family's 1533-position model. The record is from RNAcentral.